GGAGCCGUCGCAUAGCGGUUUAGUGCACCAUCUUGGAAAGGUGGCAUACCGAAAGGUAUCGAGAGUUCGAAUCUCUCCGGCUCCGCCA
RNAcentral lists this transfer RNA (88 nucleotides) under Candidatus Nomurabacteria bacterium RIFCSPHIGHO2_12_FULL_44_22b. RNAcentral describes it as "tRNA-Ser". It matches the Rfam family "tRNA". Rfam says of the family: Transfer RNA (tRNA) molecules are approximately 80 nucleotides in length. Their secondary structure includes four short double-helical elements and three loops (D, anti-codon, and T loops). Lineage: Bacteria; Candidatus Nomuraibacteriota. The record is from RNAcentral.